Molecule: long non-coding RNA, 4159 nt
Filed under: Eutrema salsugineum
Lineage: Eukaryota; Viridiplantae; Streptophyta; Magnoliopsida; Brassicales; Brassicaceae
Description: long non-coding RNA (ESAL_LNC001675)
Source: RNAcentral
AAAACACAAGAUCAAACUCCAUGUGCGGAACAACGGAGUAUAUGGCACCUGAAAUCGUUCGUGGAAAAGGGCAUGAUAAGGCUGCUGACUGGUGGAGCGUUGGGAUUCUUCUCUAUGAGAUGCUCACGGGAAAGGUAAAAACGUCUACUUCUUUUUGUGUUUCCAAAGAAGAAGUCUCAUUCAUGCCUUGGUAUUCGUUUAGGUGAUAUAAAUGUCUUGUGUGAUGCGAUUUGUUUCCUUUUGCAGCCACCUUUUAUGGGGAGCAGAGGAAAGAUAGAGCAGAAAAUUGUGAAGGACAAGAUCAAGCUUCCGCAGUUUCUGUCUAGUGAAGCUCAUGCGUUGCUGAAAGGGGUAAGUAAAUAUGAAAAUCUUUUAAGUGUACUAAGAAUUAUGAAGAAGCAUUGGAUUAGACAAAAUCUGGUUCUGACUUUGUGAUGAAUGGUAUAGCUGCUGCAAAAAGAGCCAGAAAGGCGACUUGGAAGUGGACCGAGCGGAGCAGAGGAGAUAAAAGAGCACAAAUGGUUCAAAGGAAUGAACUGGAAGAAGCUGGAGGCUAGAGAAGUGAAGCCAAGUUUCAAGCCGGAGAUAUCGGGAAGGCAAUGCAUAGCAAAUUUUGACAAGUGUUGGACUGAAAUGUCUGUGUUGGAUUCUCCCGCAAGCAGUCCAAGCUCGGAUCCUAAGGCCAACCCUUUCACCAACUUCACAUACGUCAGGCCUCCUCCUUCAUUCCUUCAACAAUCUACAUCGACUUUGUAGACGAGCUAUCGAAAUCAACUUUCACAUGUUUCCAAUCAAGAGAGGGUUUCAACAAAGCUAGGAACCUUAUGUUGUUUCUUUUUUUAUUUCUUUUUUACUUUGAUUAAGAAUCUCAUUUAAAGUUAAGAUAUGAUAUUGAGUUAAUCCAAUAUUUUUAACUAAAAAUGAAUGUCUCUUAUUAACUUUUGAAUAACAUAAGGUUUGAUAUGACUUUUAUAAAUCAUUGACUGAACACUAAAACAUGACCAACAAAAUUCAUGUAGGUGAUAUGAUUUUAAAUUAUUUUGAAAUAUUUGAAGGAAUUUAUAUGUUAAUUAUGGGAAUAGACAAAUAGUUGAUGUUAAUAAUAAUAUACAAAAAAUAAACCUCUGCCGCGUUAGAACAACUUGCCAACAGUUCUUCCAAUAAAAUAAACGUGUCCUGACCCCUUGAUCCACGAUGCUUCUUCUGUAACAUAAAUAAAUUUAAAAAAAAAAAAAAAAGGAGCCACGCGCCUCUGAAACCUUUUCCUUGCGGGUUUUGGUAUUUUCCAUUGCCUCUUAAAUAAAUUCUCCUCUCCUUCUCCUUCCUCAGGCAUAUUCUCUCUCUCUCUCCCUGGUAAUAUUUUCUCUCUCUCUCUUUCUCUUUGACUUUUCUACCGCAGAGUUUAGAUUCAUUUUUCUCUUCUGGAUAUAAUACAUUAUUGAAGUUCAUGUAUUGUUUCUACGACACGAAACCGUUUAGGUUCAAGUCCUAGUUUUUCUCUCUAUCUUGUUUUGUCUGCAAAUUGCUUUUGUCAUGCGACACCUGUUUCCUUAAUUUACGACUAGAUCGGAGUUCUAAAGAUUUUUUUACUUGAGGGAAUCGUUCGGUCUCGUGUUCUGCUGAAAUUUUGGUUCUCGCAGCUAUUUUAGCUUCUUUUUUUUUUUUAAACGAUUCUGAAUCCGGCAAUUGAAGAGCUUCGGGCUGUAUUCAAGAUUUUUCUCCGCAGUGAAAUUUUUCCCCUCUUUUUUUAUUUAUUUAUUUUUGGUGAAGGAUCCUCUAAUGAUAUUUGGUCGGUGCGAAGUUUUCUUAAUCUCAAUUAUGGUGACUUUAGUUUUUGGUAAUUAAGAAGAAAUCUUUUCACUUGUUUAAUUUUUAAUUUUUAUGAUAAUUCCGUAUCCGUCUCUCGAUGAUUUUGGUCAAUCCUGUACUUGAUAUGAUCAUGUCUUAGCCUCAGACUCUGAACUUGUAAAAAAUUCAUGAAUUGCAGGGCUUAGAGCACUUUGAUGGCAUUUACGCAAUUGUGCAGCAUCCACUGUUUCCUUAAAAUAGGGAAACAAGAAGAUCUUCUUCUCCUCGAUAUUGGUUUCUCUGUUCCAAGUCUUCUCCUCAUUAGCUACAUUCGUAGGAGACCCUAACCAAUCUGGUGAAAACUUGUGAAGCUAUUUCUUUUGGUCGAUUGGUUUUUGAAAAUAUGGUUUCUUCUGAGUGUUCUGGUGUUGCCAACAAAAACCUGACUGGCAAGGCCUUUCAUAAACAGCUAUGUUUAACAAUCACCCCUCCACAUGCUGUCUUGAAAGAUGAUGUUGAACUUGAAUUCUCUGAUGUCUUUGGUCCACUCCCUGAAACUAAUAACUCUGGAGAAGAUGGUGAUGUUGUUUACGACGAGCCUGCUGUUGUCUACAGCCGAUCGCACUCAUUGGUUGGCCCGUCUUCUAUCGGUGGUCAUUCUUUCAAGCUGAACAAGCUCACCUUACGAGAGACUGAGGACUCGAUAGAAUUGUUGGAGUGUCUCGAAGGUGAAUCUUUAAAAGAAAGCGAUGAAAUCUCUGGUAAUGACGACACCGACAAUGAGAAAAGUCCAGAGGGAGAUGUGGUAAAGGUCUCAGGUGUUGUAGGCAUUGAGGAUUUUGAGGUUUUGAAGGUUGUGGGGCAAGGCGCGUUUGGGAAAGUGUACCAGGUGAGGAAGAAGGAGACAUCUGAGAUAUACGCUAUGAAGGUCAUGAGAAAAGACAAGAUAAUGGAGAAGAACCAUGCGGAAUACAUGAAAGCUGAGCGAGAUAUUCUUACUAAAACCGAUCAUCCAUUCAUCGUUCAGCUUAAAUACUCUUUUCAGGUAAAAAUUCCUACUUCUCACUCUGUUUGCAUCCUAGUGAUUUACAUUAUAACUUGUUAACUUAGAGCACUAUACCUACCCGUUUUUUUAUUCUGCAGACUAAGUAUAGGCUGUAUCUUGUGCUCGACUUCAUAAACGGAGGGCAUCUUUUCUUCCAGCUCUAUCACCAAGGGCUUUUCAGGUUUGGUUUAAUUCCUUUUUGCAACUAUUUUUGGAGUUUCCCCAGAAUUCCUCAAGGCUUGACUAGUUCUAUGUUUUGUUAUCCACAGAGAGGACUUGGCUCGUGUGUACACUGCGGAAAUCGUCUCUGCAGUUUCACAUCUCCAUGAGAAUGGGAUAAUGCACAGAGAUCUUAAACCCGAAAACAUACUCAUGGACACGGAUGGCCACGUGAUGUUAACAGAUUUUGGUUUAGCUAAGGAAUUUGAAGAAAACACAAGAUCAAACUCCAUGUGCGGGACUACUGAGUAUAUGGCACCUGAAAUCGUUCGUGGAAAAGGACAUGAUAAAGCUGCUGACUGGUGGAGCGUUGGGAUUCUUCUCUAUGAGAUGCUCACUGGAAAGGUAAAAAAAAAUGCCGUCUUCUUUUGUAGUCUUGGUAUCUAUUUAGUUGAUAACUGAUAUGUGUUGUGUGAUGCCAUUGUUUUACCUUUUGCAGCCACCUUUCCUGGGGAGCAAAGGAAAGAUACAACAGAAAAUAGUCAAGGACAAGAUCAAACUUCCACAGUUUCUGUCUACAGAAGCUCAUGCGUUGCUGAAAGGGGUAUGUAUCAUCAUCUUCAUGUACUAUCAAACAUUGGAUUAGAAAAAAUCUGGUUCUGACUUUGUAAUGAAUGUAUAGCUGCUGCAAAAAGAGCCAGAGAGGCGACUUGGAAGUGGACCGAGCGGAGCAGAGGAGAUAAAAGAGCACAAAUGGUUCAAGGGAAUGAACUGGAAGAAACUGGAGGCUAGAGAAGUGAAGCCAAGUUUCAAGCCGGAGGUAUCGGGAAGGCAAUGCAUAGCAAAUUUUGACAAGUGUUGGACUGAAAUGUCUGUGUUGGAUUCUCCCGCAAGCAGUCCAAGCUCGGAUCCUAAGGCCAACCCUUUCACCAAUUUCACAUACGUCAGGCCUCCUCCUUCAUUCCUUCAACAAUCUACAUCGACUUUGUAGAGGAUCUAUAUGUUAUUAGAUGGGUUUAUGGAAAUAUACUUCUGUGAAUACAUAAUUUGACGUUUCUAAGCUUCUUCAUCGCCUUCUUGAUGUAUACGUUUAAUUUUUUUUUUUUUUUUUACUAUCUAAAACUGUGUGAAACAUAUGAAUAUGAAAUUACGUUUGACUAAGAACGC